RNAcentral lists this transfer RNA (87 nucleotides) under Gammaproteobacteria bacterium. RNAcentral describes it as "tRNA-Leu". It matches the Rfam family "tRNA". Rfam says of the family: Transfer RNA (tRNA) molecules are approximately 80 nucleotides in length. Their secondary structure includes four short double-helical elements and three loops (D, anti-codon, and T loops). The record is from RNAcentral. Lineage: Bacteria; Pseudomonadati; Pseudomonadota; Gammaproteobacteria.
GCCCGGGUGGCGGAAUUGGUAGACGCUGCGGACUUAAAAUCCGCUGGUAGAAAUACCGUGCCGGUUCGAGUCCGGCCCUGGGCACCA